AUACGGAGGGUGCAAGCGUUACUCGGAAUUACUGGGCGUAAAGGACGCGUAGGCGGUUUAGAAAGUCAGAUGUGAAAGCCUAUGGCUUAACCAUAGAACUGCAUCUGAAACUCCUAGACUAGAGUGAGGGAGAGGUCUGUGGAAUUAGUGGUGUAGGGGUAAAAUCCGUAGAGAUCACUAGGAAUAUUCAUAGCGAAGGCGACUGACUGGAACUUUACUGACGCUGAGGCGUGAAAGCGUGGGGAGCAAACAGGAUUAGAAACCCCAGUAGUCC
This 274-nucleotide ribosomal RNA is filed under the name uncultured bacterium. Its description in RNAcentral is "partial 16S ribosomal RNA". It matches the Rfam family "Bacterial small subunit ribosomal RNA", at positions 523 to 796 of the family's 1533-position model. The record is from RNAcentral.